This 408-nucleotide ribosomal RNA is filed under the name uncultured bacterium. Its description in RNAcentral is "bacterial SSU rRNA". It matches the Rfam family "Bacterial small subunit ribosomal RNA", at positions 30 to 437 of the family's 1533-position model. The record is from RNAcentral.
AUUGAACGCUGGCGGCGUGCUUAACACAUGCAAGUCGUGCGGUAACAGGCGUAGCAAUACGUGCUGACGAGCGGCGAACGGGUGCGUAAUACAUGGGAAUCUGCCCUUUAGUGGGGAAUAACCCGGCGAAAGCCGGGCUAAUGCCGCAUAAGAUCUUCGGAUGAAAGCGGGGGAUCGUAAGACCUCGCGCUGAUGGAUGAGCCCAUGUCGGAUUAGCAGUUGGUGAGGUAAAGGCUCACCAAGGCGACGAUCCGUAGCUGGUCUGAGAGGACGGCCAGCCACACUGGGACUGAGACACGGCCCAGACUCCUACGGGAGGCAGCAGUGGGGAAUAUUGGACAAUGGGGGAAACCCUGAUCCAGCGACGCCGCGUGUGUGAAGAAGGCCUGCGGGUUGUAAAGCACUUUC